Molecule: microRNA precursor, 124 nt
Organism: Gossypium arboreum
Lineage: Eukaryota; Viridiplantae; Streptophyta; Magnoliopsida; Malvales; Malvaceae
Rfam family: MIR7502 microRNA precursor family
Source: Rfam
UAUUAAAAAUUUUAUCCAUUUCUACUGUUAAAAACUGGCGUGACAGCACGUAGUGUGUCACGUGUACCUCAUUUUGACAUAUAAAAACCAGUUUUAACAGAAAAAGUAAAUGAAAUUUUUAACA